AACAUUGCUUCUUGAAACAAAAUAAGAAGUAAUUCCUGCCCAGUGACAUAGUUCAACGGCCGCGGUAUCCUAACCGUGCAAAGGUAGCAUAAUCACUUGCCCAUUAAUUGUGGGCUAGAAUGAAAGGACCAACGAAAUAAAGACUGUCUCUAUAAGCAAACUAAAAAUUAAUCUCUAACUGAAGAGUGUUAGAUUAUGUCGAAGGACAAGAAGACCCUAUAGAGCUUAAUUCUAAUAAAAAUACAUGUUUUAAUAAAAUUCGGUUGGGGCGACCAGGGAAUAAAAAUCAUCCCUAUUCAAAAGAUUUAUAAAUCUUUAAAAUGACCCUUAAACAAGACCAUAAAAACAAGCUACCUUAGGGGUAACAGGCUAAUCCCACUAAAGAGUUCUUAUCAAUAGUGGGGGUUGGCACCUCGAUGUUGGCUUAGGGAAUCUAUACGGCGC
Molecule: ribosomal RNA, 444 nt
Filed under: Eiseniella tetraedra
Lineage: Eukaryota; Metazoa; Annelida; Clitellata; Crassiclitellata; Lumbricidae
Description: partial large subunit ribosomal RNA
Rfam family: Bacterial large subunit ribosomal RNA
Source: RNAcentral